AUGUUCCUAUGGGGGGCAGCAGUGGGGAAUUUUGGACAAUGGGCGCAAGCCUGAUCCAGCUAUUCCGCGUGUGGGAUGACGGCCCUCGGGUUGUAAACCACUUUAGUAGAGAACGAAAAGGAGCUAUCGAAUAAAUAGCUCUGCUGACGGUACUCUAAGAAUAAGCACCGGCUAACUACGUGCCAGCAGCCGCGGUAAUACGUAGGGUGCGAGCGUUAAUCGGAAUUAUUGGGUUUAAAGGGUGCGUAGGCGGAAUAUCAAGUCAGCGGUAAAAAUUCGGGGCUCAACCCCGUCGUGCCGUUGAA
RNAcentral lists this ribosomal RNA (305 nucleotides) under uncultured bacterium. RNAcentral describes it as "bacterial SSU rRNA". It matches the Rfam family "Bacterial small subunit ribosomal RNA", at positions 333 to 631 of the family's 1533-position model. The record is from RNAcentral.